CUUCAUUCCUAAUGCUAAUUGGCUCUCUCACUUCUGAGAUUGCCCCACCCCAGAGCAAACAAGAGAGUCGGUAAAUUCUUAGUCUGGGAGACUUUGGGGGAGUUCCCAUGAAGCGAGGGCCAUCCUGACUGUUAGAUCUCUCUGGGUCCCUUAGCUUCAUCUUGUCUCCAGGAUGGUGUGUGUGCUGCCCCGGGGUCUGGACAGAGGUUCUGGCUGUGACCCUGCUGGUGCUGAAUUCCCAGGUGGCUGCAGGCAGACAUGCCCCAAAUUGUCCCAAAGUUCGACUAAGCUGCUGGAAAGGUUUAAAUUUGGUUGUUAUUGGGGGAGCAAGGGGUAGACUUUCCUGGAUUAAUUUCCCAGGUAUGAUUUCAAGGCCAUGAGUGACGCUGGAGUGUUUGGGACCACCCCUGGUUUUCAUGAAUAACAUCAUGGUGGAGUAGGGGAAUGUCUUCCCAUCCAUUUCUCAGAGGCAGGUUAGGGGCAGGUACUGGUCUAGAGAGACCAAGGGGAUUGAUCCAGGCUGGCUUUUCUCCUGUCUUCAUGAUCCAUUGUUAAUGGACUGAAAAAAAAAGGUGUAGGCUCAAUUUUCCCUCAUCCUCCACUCCCCUGGUCAGGCCAGGCUUGCACUCCCUACUCCCCAUCUUUCAGUGUCAUCUCUGGUCUCCACACUAUUGCUGCUGUCCCUGAAGCCUGGUCAGGAUCAAAGGGCCUCUGCCAUGACCCAGUAGAGGUGUAAGAUCCUUUGUUCUGGGCAGGGAGGGAGCCCUCUGGGAUGGGACACAACCUCUUCCAGCUAGUGUAAGUAUUAUAGGGGAACAGAUAAAAGCCCCUCUGGCACUGUCUGCAUUAUUUCCCCUGCAGCCUGGCCUGGCACCUGGCCUGGCCCAUCACAGUCUCUUUGGGAUCCUAACCUGUUCUCAAGGAAUCUGACCCACUUUUGAGGUUUAUCAACUGCACUGACUCUGGGGGGAGAGUAUGUCAUGUGUCACAUCCAUUCUCCAGGUCUGGGCAAGAAGAAGGGCCUUCUAGAGACAGUCUAUUA
This 1042-nucleotide long non-coding RNA is filed under the name Phascolarctos cinereus (koala). Its description in RNAcentral is "lncRNA (ENSPCIG00000036382.1)". Lineage: Eukaryota; Metazoa; Chordata; Mammalia; Diprotodontia; Phascolarctidae. The record is from RNAcentral.